This is a long non-coding RNA of Xenopus laevis (African clawed frog), 3246 nucleotides long. RefSeq lists it as uncharacterized. NCBI's taxonomy places the organism in Eukaryota, Metazoa, Chordata, Amphibia, Anura, Pipidae. The record is from RefSeq and is a predicted model, not a curated record. The transcript is spliced from 3 exons.
UGGCUGAGACCUGCUAGGGCGGGAUAAAGCGGGGAAUCUGAGUCGACUCAUACAAUUUAGAUGCCAGGGAUGGAGGGCAGGUAUUGUGGAUACUGCGAGUAAGUUCAAUGGUGCCUGACACCUGAUUUAUGGGUCCUAGUAAUAUUGCUGCGUCCUGAUCCAUCCUCCCACCAGUUCACUGACCGUGUGCGAUAGGGUGAAAUAAUAGUCCCUCGGGGUGGACACGUGACGGUCUAUCACUAAGGUGAGGUAGGCUAUGCCCCUCACUCUGAUCUGCUUCGGAGUCUGAGAGAGGGGUGGCCAUGUCGGUGCCGACAGAGAGGGGUUACCAGGGAGAUGUGAGUCUGGCUGUGCCCAAACCCUUAUUAAGUGCAGCUCAUUCACACACCACGUACCACGUACCAGGGGUGUCAUUUUAAAUUGGCCCGCAUCAAAUUUCGAAAAAUUGAUUGCAGUGCAGCUCCCUGGAGAGGAGAGAGACUGCUGCUGCUGCUGUGCCGGCACGCCCCGCCCCCCGCUUCGAUUGGCUGGCCUGUGUGGAGACUGGGUGUGGACGUCACUAGAGCUGCCCAGACACGCCCCCUCCCCUCGGCUUCACUCUGGCUGGAGUCAGACUGUGCCUGCCCUCUGUGGAGACUGGGACUGGGGAGACAGCGUGUGGACGUCUCAGGAGACUCUGAGAGAGAGACUGCCUGCUGCAGUGUGCUGCCACCCACCACGACUACGAGGUAAACGUCAGUGAGAGUCAGUCUGUGCAGGAGACUUCUUCUGCGCUCACACAGCACACUCCUCCACAAGUUCUGUCUUCUCUCUCUGGCUGUCAGAGUGAGCUACAGAGGGGUGGAGGAGAAAGGGGGGAAGGUUGCCAGUCCCAGGCAAGUAGCCUGUACACACACACACACUGCUGGGAGCGGUAAGGCAUCUACCAUCUGCUUUGCGUUAGGGGCAUCGGCAUAUGAGCAUUAUGGUUAGGGACAGUGUUAUGUACUCGUUCUGGUGCACAUGCAGGAAGCUUAUCAGGGCUGAUUUGUGUGGUAAAUAAUUAUUAUCCCCUCAAGUAUAAGCUGAAACUAUAUUACAUUAGCCCUGUCCAUUUUGGGGCCUCCCAUUCUUUUGUGCCCCCAGAUAAUGGAACAAUUAGAAUGGUCGGCCCCCACACAUUUUCACCUCACCAAAUGUGGCCCUCGUUGCAAAAAGAUUGGACACCCCUUCUGUACGGACAGUCAUCUCUUUAUUACUUAUUAAUGCAGCCCAGUGACAAGCUCCUCCUCCUCCGGCUGCGGGCCAAUGAGAUGCAAGGUAAAAGGGCGGGACGCAAGUCUCUAGUGCUGCUGAAAGAAAUACAAGCGCUCGUCUCUUGGUGUAGAGAUGUAGUACAGAUGGAGGGGUAAGAUCCAAUGGAAUAGGGCAGAUAACAUUGGGGAGGUGGGAAUUUUGGCGGGAGGCAGGGAUCAGCUGACAGCCAAAGCCUGUGCCAUGCGAUCUCCUUAACACGCAGAAUGCGACUUCUACUGGUAAGUUCCUCCCCCUUCCCAUAACUCUCUAUUCACUCCUCCAUCCUGGCAGCAUAUCUCUCCCUUGUGUCACGUUACUCAGCCUUCACUCCUCAGCUUUCAUACUUCAACCAUCUCCACCCUCAGCCUUGACCCCUCAUUCGUCAGCCGGGUUCCUAGGGAAGAUGAGGAAUGAGGAGGCUGAGGGAGGAGGACAUAGUUAUUAUUGUAGGGGUUAAACAUGAGGGACGAGGGCUGAGAGAGGAUAGAGGAAAGCUGAGUAAUGUGACAGGAGGGGGUAGUGAAUUGAGCCUUAUUUGGAGGCUGAGAAACAUACUAAGUGACUUUGGCUGUGGAUGUCCUAAAAUUGUUUCCAUACAGGAAGCGUGUAUCCCUUAGGUUUUUCCUCAAGAAGAUCUAAAAUGGACUGUAUUGACGGGCAAGUUGUACGGUGUCCAUUUUAGGACAGCCUUCGUCAUUACUAAGAUGCUGCAAACAGCUUUAAUCCGACAGCUCUUCUUGACACAUGCAUGUUAUGUAGCGCUGCUCCAAGCUGCCGAGAUCAAACCGGCAGCUGACUGGUUGUUGUUGUUGCCAUAGUGAUUGUGUAUAGGCGGAUCCACACUGUUCUACUUUGAGGAGAGUUGAGAGGAAGAAGUUGGCAGCAUUUGCAAUGUCCCAGCAAGUGUCUAUCAUGAAUAGGAACAACCUAGAGAAACAGGCAGAAGCCCUGAGCCGACUCAUCCAGCAAUCAUUAUGACCACAACAGCAAAUUGUCCUAUACAGAUUUUGAAAAACUGUACAAGAAAAUCUUCUGCUGGAGGCAUCGGGACCUUGUCUUCUAGGUAGUAAAGUUAUAGAAACUGUAAGACUGGGAAAAAGGAAAGGAGACAUAGAUAAAUUGUUAUCUAAGAAAGAAAUCAAGUGGAUGUCACUAUUGGAGACUGUAGUACCAUAUGGUUUGAAUAAGGACUGUGAGAUCAGAUUUUUUAUUGAUUAAGGGAUGUAAUUCACAGCUAAUAAACCUACUGUCCGAUGAAAUAAAUUCCGUAAUAGCGCUAGGUAAAGAGGAAUUGGAGAUAUUAGAAUUUGAAUACAAAGUGAUAGAAUAAAUGUCCUCUGAAUAUAAUAACUAAUUAAUUAACUAAUUCAGCACUCUAUCCAUUGAAAUUACAUCAAUUAUAUUUAUACUUAUAUUACAUCAUUAUUAUUCUAACGUGUUAAGAAAUAACAACAUAAAAAAUACAUGAUGGGCAUUUUUCAAUUUUAACCUUUUUUAUUCUAUUUAAUUAAUUGCAUUUAAGAUGUGGACAAAUAAUUUAAUUAAAUUGAAUAGAGAUCAAGAUAGACAUGAUGAUUAAUAUUAAAUUUAUUGUACGUAUAUAUAGUUUAGAACACGAACAAUUAUACAAAAUUUAGAAAAUUUAGAAAACUUAUUAAACUAUUUAUCUAUGUAUAAUAUAUAAUACAAACAAGCACUUGCACUUUAACAAUAUGCACGAUUAUAUGUUUCAUGUAUCUUGAUGUAUUUUUAUGAAUGUAUACAUUUUUAAUAACUAUUUACACAUACUGCACCUUUAAAUGUGAAUUGAUUUGCACUUGGACCCUAUUUAAACACUUAGACACGUGAUGUAAUUGUAACCCUGAGGAAGCGUCGUUCAAGUAGACACGAAACGCGUAGGUUUGAUAUAGCGCACCCACUGUGAAUGUAACUCUGCACUGUGUGAAACAAUAAAGCCGGAUUGAUAUUAAA